This 240-nucleotide ribosomal RNA is filed under the name uncultured bacterium. RNAcentral's name for it is "partial 16S ribosomal RNA". It matches the Rfam family "Bacterial small subunit ribosomal RNA", at positions 114 to 354 of the family's 1533-position model. The record is from RNAcentral.
CGCGUGAGGAACCUGCCUUUCAGAGGGGGACAACAGUUGGAAACGACUGCUAAUACCGCAUAACGCAUGGGUAUCGCAUGGUAUCUGUGCCAAAGAUUUAUCGCUGAGAGAUGGCCUCGCGUCUGAUUAGCUAGUUGGUGAGGUAACGGCCCACCAAGGCGACGAUCAGUAGCCGGACUGAGAGGUUGGCCGGCCACAUUGGGACUGAGACACGGCCCAGACUCCUACGGGAGGCAGCAG